This 2927-nucleotide ribosomal RNA is filed under the name Salmonella enterica subsp. enterica serovar Minnesota str. ATCC 49284. RNAcentral's name for it is "bacterial LSU rRNA". It matches the Rfam family "Bacterial large subunit ribosomal RNA". The record is from RNAcentral. Lineage: Bacteria; Pseudomonadati; Pseudomonadota; Gammaproteobacteria; Enterobacterales; Enterobacteriaceae.
GGGUUGUGAGGUUAAGCGACUAAGCGUACACGGUGGAUGCCCUGGCAGUCAGAGGCGAUGAAGGGCGUGCUAAUCUGCGAUAAGCGCCGGUAAGGUGAUAUGAACCGUUAUAACCGGCGAUACCCGAAUGGGGAAACCCAGUGUGACUCGUCACACUAUCAUUAACUGAAUCCAUAGGUUAAUGAGGCGAACCGGGGGAACUGAAACAUCUAAGUACCCCGAGGAAAAGAAAUCAACCGAGAUUCCCCCAGUAGCGGCGAGCGAACGGGGAGGAGCCCAGAGCCUGAAUCAGCAUGUGUGUUAGUGGAAGCGUCUGGAAAGGCGCGCGAUACAGGGUGACAGCCCCGUACACAAAAGCGCACAUGCUGUGAGCUCGAUGAGUAGGGCGGGACACGUGGUAUCCUGUCUGAAUAUGGGGGGACCAUCCUCCAAGGCUAAAUACUCCUGACUGACCGAUAGUGAACCAGUACCGUGAGGGAAAGGCGAAAAGAACCCCGGCGAGGGGAGUGAAAAAGAACCUGAAACCGUGUACGUACAAGCAGUGGGAGCACCCUUUGGGGUGUGACUGCGUACCUUUUGUAUAAUGGGUCAGCGACUUAUAUUCUGUAGCAAGGUUAACCGAAUAGGGGAGCCGGAGGGAAACCGAGUCUUAAUUGGGCGUUAAGUUGCAGGGUAUAGACCCGAAACCCGGUGAUCUAGCCAUGGGCAGGUUGAAGGUUGGGUAACACUAACUGGAGGACCGAACCGACUAAUGUUGAAAAAUUAGCGGAUGACCUGUGGCUGGGGGUGAAAGGCCAAUCAAACCGGGAGAUAGCUGGUUCUCCCCGAAAGCUAUUUAGGUAGCGCCUCGUGAAUUCAUCUCCGGGGGUAGAGCACUGUUUCGGCUAGGGGGCCAUCCCGGCUUACCAACCCGAUGCAAACUGCGAAUACCGGAGAAUGUUAUCACGGGAGACACACGGCGGGUGCUAACGUCCGUCGUGAAGAGGGAAACAACCCAGACCGCCAGCUAAGGUCCCAAAGUCAUGGUUAAGUGGGAAACGAUGUGGGAAGGCCCAGACAGCCAGGAUGUUGGCUUAGAAGCAGCCAUCAUUUAAAGAAAGCGUAAUAGCUCACUGGUCGAGUCGGCCUGCGCGGAAGAUGUAACGGGGCUAAACCAUGCACCGAAGCUGCGGCAGCGACGCUUAUGCGUUGUUGGGUAGGGGAGCGUUCUGUAAGCCUGUGAAGGUGGCCUGUGAGGGUUGCUGGAGGUAUCAGAAGUGCGAAUGCUGACAUAAGUAACGAUAAAGCGGGUGAAAAGCCCGCUCGCCGGAAGACCAAGGGUUCCUGUCCAACGUUAAUCGGGGCAGGGUGAGUCGACCCCUAAGGCGAGGCCGAAAGGCGUAGUCGAUGGGAAACGGGUUAAUAUUCCCGUACUUGGUGUUACUGCGAAGGGGGGACGGAGAAGGCUAUGUUGGCCGGGCGACGGUUGUCCCGGUUUAAGCGUGUAGGUGUGUGUUCCAGGUAAAUCCGGUUCACUUUAACACUGAGGCGUGACGACGAGGCACUACGGUGCUGAAGCAACAAAUGCCCUGCUUCCAGGAAAAGCCUCUAAGCAUCAGGUAACAUCAAAUCGUACCCCAAACCGACACAGGUGGUCAGGUAGAGAAUACCAAGGCGCUUGAGAGAACUCGGGUGAAGGAACUAGGCAAAAUGGUGCCGUAACUUCGGGAGAAGGCACGCUGACACGUAGGUGAAGUGAUUUACUCAUGGAGCUGAAGUCAGUCGAAGAUACCAGCUGGCUGCAACUGUUUAUUAAAAACACAGCACUGUGCAAACACGAAAGUGGACGUAUACGGUGUGACGCCUGCCCGGUGCCGGAAGGUUAAUUGAUGGGGUCAGCGCAAGCGAAGCUCCUGAUCGAAGCCCCGGUAAACGGCGGCCGUAACUAUAACGGUCCUAAGGUAGCGAAAUUCCUUGUCGGGUAAGUUCCGACCUGCACGAAUGGCGUAAUGAUGGCCAGGCUGUCUCCACCCGAGACUCAGUGAAAUUGAACUCGCUGUGAAGAUGCAGUGUACCCGCGGCAAGACGGAAAGACCCCGUGAACCUUUACUAUAGCUUGACACUGAACAUUGAGCCUUGAUGUGUAGGAUAGGUGGGAGGCUUUGAAGUGUGGACGCCAGUCUGCAUGGAGCCGACCUUGAAAUACCACCCUUUAAUGUUUGAUGUUCUAACGUGGACCCGUGAUCCGGGUUGCGGACAGUGUCUGGUGGGUAGUUUGACUGGGGCGGUCUCCUCCUAAAGAGUAACGGAGGAGCACGAAGGUUGGCUAAUCCUGGUCGGACAUCAGGAGGUUAGUGCAAUGGCAUAAGCCAGCUUGACUGCGAGCGUGACGGCGCGAGCAGGUGCGAAAGCAGGUCAUAGUGAUCCGGUGGUUCUGAAUGGAAGGGCCAUCGCUCAACGGAUAAAAGGUACUCCGGGGAUAACAGGCUGAUACCGCCCAAGAGUUCAUAUCGACGGCGGUGUUUGGCACCUCGAUGUCGGCUCAUCACAUCCUGGGGCUGAAGUAGGUCCCAAGGGUAUGGCUGUUCGCCAUUUAAAGUGGUACGCGAGCUGGGUUUAGAACGUCGUGAGACAGUUCGGUCCCUAUCUGCCGUGGGCGCUGGAGAACUGAGGGGGGCUGCUCCUAGUACGAGAGGACCGGAGUGGACGCAUCACUGGUGUUCGGGUUGUCAUGCCAAUGGCACUGCCCGGUAGCUAAAUGCGGAAGAGAUAAGUGCUGAAAGCAUCUAAGCACGAAACUUGCCCCGAGAUGAGUUCUCCCUGAGACUUAGAGUCUCCUGAAGGAACGUUGAAGACGACGACGUUGAUAGGCCGGGUGUGUAAGCGCAGCGAUGCGUUGAGCUAACCGGUACUAAUGAACCGUGAGGCUUAACCUUACAACGCCGAAG